GACGAACGCUGGCGGCGUGCUUAACACAUGCAAGUCGAACGAAGAGCGACGGAAGCUUGCUUCUAUCAAUCUUAGUGGCGAACGGGUGAGUAACGCGUAAUCAACCUGCCCUUCAGAGGGGGACAACAGUUGGAAACGACUGCUAAUACCGCAUACGAUCUAAUCUCGGCAUCGAGGAUGGAUGAAAGGUGGCCUCUACAUGUAAGCUAUCACUGAAGGAGGGGAUUGCGUCUGAUUAGCUAGUUGGAGGGGUAACGGCCCACCAAGGCGAUGAUCAGUAGCCGGUCUGAGAGGAUGAACGGCCACAUUGGGACUGAGACACGGCCCAGACUCCUACGGGAGGCAGCAGUGGGGAAUCUUCCGCAAUGGACGAAAGUCUGACGGAGCAACGCCGCGUGAGUGAUGACGGCCUUCGGGUUGUAAAGCUCUGUUAAUCGGGACGAAAGGCCUUCUUGCGAAUAGUGAGAAGGAUUGACGGUACCGGAAUAGAA
RNAcentral lists this ribosomal RNA (491 nucleotides) under Veillonella parvula. RNAcentral's name for it is "bacterial SSU rRNA". It matches the Rfam family "Bacterial small subunit ribosomal RNA", at positions 28 to 488 of the family's 1533-position model. The record is from RNAcentral. Lineage: Bacteria; Bacillati; Bacillota; Negativicutes; Veillonellales; Veillonellaceae.